UGUGGUCUAUCAGUGUUUCGCCACUUUCCCCAAACUGACUGUGGAGGCGCUGACAUUGCCAGCCAUAUCGGCGUUACCCUCGAGUUUUGUAUCCAGACCUGCUGUGCGAACUCUACAUGCCUGUCGUUUCAGUACAACACACAAAAUACAAACUGUUACUUGAAAAACAAACUCUGCUCGGCUGGAGAAAAAGUAUCUGCAGUACAUGGCAACAUGUACGAUCGGCUUGAUGGGUGUCCAUACGGCUACUCGUACCUGGCGCACACUCACCUGUGUUACCGUGCCGAUGUCAGUGAGAGUACCUACGACCAGGCCUUGACGACCUGCCAAGCAAACGGCGGCACGCUGGCCAUGCCUCGCGACAACACCACCAACGACUUCCUAAUCGCAUUGAAGAACGACGCAAACCCGAAUAUCUGGUUCUUUUUGGACUGGACAUAAGGGACGGAUCGUGGAAUUACGUAGAUGGCGGGGAGCUGAGUUACACCGACUGGGGCGAUGGAGAGCCGAACAAUUCCGGUGGAGCCGAACAGUGCGCGCAAUACUUCCCGGGAAAUUAUAGUGAUAACCACAAAUUGAGAAAUAAAUGGAACGAUGGAUACUGUCUAGGAGGUAUUGGUUCCAUCUGCGAAGUUGGUGCUAAUGUCGCCCUGGGGAAGACGGCGUUCCAAACUAGCAACAGGGAGCCUGCCAGCGUUGCCGUAGACGGGAACAUAGCUACUAACUACGAUGCUGGUUCCUGUACACACACUGUAGGUGACUAUGGAGAGGAUAACCCAACCUGGUGGGUGGAUCUCGGCCAAUCGUAUGUGAU
Branchiostoma floridae (Florida lancelet) is the source of this 814-nucleotide long non-coding RNA. RefSeq lists it as uncharacterized. Lineage: Eukaryota; Metazoa; Chordata; Leptocardii; Amphioxiformes; Branchiostomatidae. The record is from RefSeq and is a predicted model, not a curated record. The transcript has 3 exons.